RNAcentral lists this ribosomal RNA (491 nucleotides) under uncultured bacterium. RNAcentral's name for it is "partial 16S ribosomal RNA". It matches the Rfam family "Bacterial small subunit ribosomal RNA", at positions 28 to 508 of the family's 1533-position model. The record is from RNAcentral.
GAUGAACGCUAGCGAUAGGCUUAACACAUGCAAGUCGAGGGGCAGCAUGGUCUUAGCUUGCUAAGGCUGAUGGCGACCGGCGCACGGGUGCGUAACGCGUAUGCAACUUGCCUCACAGAGGGGGAUAACCCGUCGAAAGACGGACUAAUACCGCGUACACUCUAUGUUGGGCAUCCAAUGUAGAGGAAAUGAAAUUCGCUGUGAGAUAGGCAUGCGUCCCAUUAGCUAGUUGGUGAGGUAACGGCUCACCAAGGCGACGAUGGGUAGGGGAACUGAGAGGUUGAACCCCCACACUGGUACUGAGACACGGACCAGACUCCUACGGGAGGCAGCAGUGAGGAAUAUUGGUCAAUGGGCGAGAGCCUGAACCAGCCAAGUCGCGUGAAGGAUGGCUGUCUUAUGGAUUGUAAACUUCUUUUAUACGGGAAUAACAAGAGUCACGUGUGGCUCCCUGCAUGUACCGUAUGAAUAAGCAUCGGCUAACUCCGUGC